AUUGAACGCUGGCGGCAUGCCUUACACAUGCAAGUCGAACGGCAGCACGGGAGCUUGCUCCUGGUGGCGAGUGGCGAACGGGUGAGUAAUACAUCGGAACGUACCCUGAAGUGGGGGAUAACGUAGCGAAAGUUACGCUAAUACCGCAUAUUCUGUGAGCAGGAAAGAGGGGGAUCGCAAGACCUCUUGGGCUUUAGGAGCGGCCGAUGUCGGAUUAGCUAGUUGGUGAGGUAAAGGCUCACCAAGGCGACGAUCCGUAGCGGGUCUGAGAGGAUGAUCCGCCACACUGGGACUGAGACACGGCCCAGACUCCUACGGGAGGCAGCAGUGGGGAAUUUUGGACAAUGGGCGCAAGCCUGAUCCAGCCAUGCCGCGUGAGUGAAGAAGGCCUUCGGGUUG
This 399-nucleotide ribosomal RNA is filed under the name uncultured bacterium. RNAcentral describes it as "bacterial SSU rRNA". It matches the Rfam family "Bacterial small subunit ribosomal RNA", at positions 30 to 425 of the family's 1533-position model. The record is from RNAcentral.